UCACAAUUCAUUUCUUCUCGCUCGCGCUCUUCAUAUUGUAAAUAAUCAGAGCAGUACUGCCACAUUCUUCUUGCUGUCGCAAAUCUUCAAGCAUCAGCAAAGGUUUUACAAUGCCUAUUCACAACUGAAGACUAAAGAUGUUGUUGUUAAAGAAGUCAUCGCAUUCACAACAGAAGUGCUUGGGAAUUCUUACUAUACUGCUCUAGAUGAUGGUUUUAUCCACAAAGACAGUGAUCUCAAGUCAAGGAUUUCCUUCAAGUAUAGCAUCACAAGAGGAGUGCAUAGCACACCAACUUACUUCGUCAAUGGAUUUCCACUGCCUAAUCCCGGCACUCUCAUAGCGUUCGAUGGAUGGAAG
Long non-coding RNA from Tripterygium wilfordii, 358 nucleotides. RefSeq lists it as uncharacterized. NCBI's taxonomy places the organism in Eukaryota, Viridiplantae, Streptophyta, Magnoliopsida, Celastrales, Celastraceae. The transcript is spliced from 3 exons. The record is from RefSeq and is a predicted model, not a curated record.